GACGAAGGGGGCUAGCGUUGUUCGGAAUUACUGGGCGUAAAGCGUGUGUAGGUGGUUGUCAUAGUCAGGCGUGAAAGCCUUGAGCUCAACUCAAGAAAUGCGCUUGAUACUGGGCAGCUAGAGGACCGGAGAGGAUAGUGGAAUUCCCAGUGUAGUGGUGAAAUACGUAGAGAUUGGGAAGAACACCAGUGGCGAAGGCGGCUAUCUGGACGGUUUCUGACACUAAGACACGAAAGCGUGGGGAGCAAACAGG
This 253-nucleotide ribosomal RNA is filed under the name uncultured bacterium. Its description in RNAcentral is "partial 16S ribosomal RNA". It matches the Rfam family "Bacterial small subunit ribosomal RNA", at positions 524 to 776 of the family's 1533-position model. RNAcentral also lists the same sequence under 1 other name. The record is from RNAcentral.